Molecule: ribosomal RNA, 389 nt
Filed under: Podarcis tiliguerta
Lineage: Eukaryota; Metazoa; Chordata; Lepidosauria; Squamata; Lacertidae
Description: partial 12S ribosomal RNA
Rfam family: Bacterial small subunit ribosomal RNA
Source: RNAcentral
GCUAAGCCCUAAACAUUGAUAGUAGUUAUUACAUUACUUUCCGCCAGAGAACUACAAGUGAAAAACUUGAAACUCAAAGGACUUGACGGUGUCCCAUAUCGACCUAGAGGAGCCUGUCCUAUAAUCGAUACCCCCCGUUCCACCCAACCUCAACUAGCAAAAUAUCAGCCUAUAUACCGCCGUCGACAGUCUACCCCAUGAGGGCUCAACAGUAGACACAACAGCCUUAACGCUAAUACGUCAGGUCAAGGUGUAGCAAAUGUUGAGGAAAAGAUUGGCUACAUUUUUUAUGAUAAAAAACACGAAUUGCACUAUGAAACACUGCAUGAAGGUGAAUUUAGUAGUAAAACAGACAAGAGUGUCUGUUUUAACAACGCUCUGGGACGCGU